Molecule: non-coding RNA, 31 nt
Filed under: Homo sapiens (human)
Lineage: Eukaryota; Metazoa; Chordata; Mammalia; Primates; Hominidae
Source: RNAcentral
UGCAAGACGUGCCUUUAAAGGAGGCGGAUGC